UACGUAGGGGGCAAGCGUUGUCCGGAAUUAUUGGGCGUAAAGCGCGUGUAGGCGGCUCGAUAAGUCUGCUGUGAAAGUCCAAGGCUCAACCUUUGAAUGCCGCUGGAAACUGCCUGGCUUGAGUCCGGAAGGGGCGAGUGGAAUUCCUGGUGUAGCGGUGAAAUGCGCAGAUAUCAGGAGGAACACCAAUGGCGAAGGCAGCUCGCUGGAACGGUACUGACGCUGAGGCGCGAAAGCGUGGGGAGCGAACAGG
RNAcentral lists this ribosomal RNA (253 nucleotides) under uncultured bacterium. RNAcentral's name for it is "partial 16S ribosomal RNA". It matches the Rfam family "Bacterial small subunit ribosomal RNA", at positions 524 to 776 of the family's 1533-position model. The record is from RNAcentral.